Molecule: long non-coding RNA, 6483 nt
Organism: Homo sapiens (human)
Lineage: Eukaryota; Metazoa; Chordata; Mammalia; Primates; Hominidae
Exons: 3
Source: RefSeq, a predicted model, not a curated record
AUUUGCCUUAUUACCUCAGAUAGGUGUUGCUGAGUGACUGGACAGAUUUCUUCUGCUUUCAGUCUCUUUUCAUGGGUCCUUCAGAAUGAGUUUUGGAAAGGAGAAAAACAAAAAGAGACCAGAAGGAACUGAGAAGCUCAAAGCAUCAAAGGACACAGCAAUAUGAGAGGCCAACAACUGAUAUACAAGCCACACCGAGAAGAUUGCCAUUUGCAAGAGAGCUAUUAAUGAAAGUCACACACCUGAAGCUCUAAAAGCAGCCCAGGGAAUGGGGAAAAUUCCCUGUCUCCAAAACAGGAGAUGAAGCCACUGUGAAGCCAAUAGCAAAAAAGUGAUCAGGCCAGAAAUCCUGCUGACUCAGGAAAUUCUAUUCUGCCGUUAGACGAAGCUAAAUAUCAGAGCACCUACUCUGCCGUAUAUUCUUAAUAGGGUUCCUGUACUUAGCUAUGUAACAGCCUAUGGGGUUUAACUCAUUCGCUAAAGAAACAUAUUGAAUGAGGACCCUGGGCCAAAGCACCACAUAUAGUCGUCCAUCGGUAAAGUGGGGCAUAAGUGGGGAUUGGUCAUAGAUUUGGGGAUUCAAAGGUGCUCAAAUCUCUUAUACAAAGUGAUGUAAUGAGUAAGAAGGAACUAAGCGCACACAUUCUCUGAGCACCUGCCACGCGCAAACACAGUGCUAAAUGCUUCCACAUGUAUUAUCUUUUUAAAAUGACUUUUUUUUUUAGAUAAGAUCUUGCUCUGUCACCCAGACUGGAAUGCAGUGAUGUGAUCACAACUCACUGCAGCCUUGACCUCCUAGGCUCAAGCAAUCCUCCCUCCUCAGUCUUCCAGGUAGCUGGGACUACAGGCUCGCACCAUCACAUCUGGCUAAAUUUUUUCUUUUUUGUAGAGGUGGGGUCUCACUAUGUUGCCCAGGCCCGUAGACUUUAUUUAUUAGAGUAGUUCUAGGUUCACAGUAAAAUUAAGCUGAAGGUGAGGAAAUUUUCGAUACACCUCCUGCCCCCAACACAUGCACAGUUUCCCCCAUUAUUAUCAACCCCCACCAGAGCGGUACAUUUGUUGCAGUCAAUGCACCUACACUGACACACUGAUCUUAUUUAGACCUUAGUUCCAGCGUCUCUGGAAGAGUGGCAGUUUUCUCAUUGGCUGACCCUAUUGCCUGGUCUCGCUGCUCGGUGCAAAGGCCUUUAGAAAUUCUCUGCUUUGACUGACUGGCUAACAAGUGGAGAUUUGUACCCGAAGCAUCGAAUCUGUAUAGGAAUCAAGCACAUGGAAAAAUCUUUGAUUCCUCCAGUGUCUUGGAUCUCAAGGAAAGCUCCAGCCUCAGCCUUGGUGGAGGCAGCAGCCCCGGGCUCAGAGAAGGAAGGUAUUCAGAUGACAGGAUUCAGACAUCUCAGGAUGACCAAAGAGUAUCCAACCAUUCACCAAGGAGCAGAAGCUUCCCUAUCACUGACAGACAGUACUUCCUGCGGUGUCCCCAGCAUCCCCCAGAAACUGUGGACAAGGCACAAGAAGAAGUCUGAAUAUGUGAAAGCCAGCAACAGCGCCUUUGAGGCCGACUAACGGUGACCCUCCCCGGGUACCCUGCACUGGCUGAGGUUGACUAGACAAGGGGAGAAGGGCCAGGACUGGAGCUGAGCCACACUCAUUUCUGCUAGCAGCUUGGUGCAAACAUAUCAUCCUCUCUCACUAACUGAUCACCCUGCCUUAGGACACAGAAAAGGAACAUCCCUUGAAGGCAAAAUGAAACUGUUCCUUCUUAGAACUGCUAAAGCUGUUGGCCAGAAAGUGACUUUGAGAGGUCAUAAAGUUUAUAUCUCUAUCUUCAAGCAAAAUCACACCUACAUGGAACUUUCCCAGCCUAAAGACCUCCAAGGAAGGAAGGCGACAACUCCCCCGUCUUCCUUGUGAGUUGCUGGUGUUCUAGGGUGUGUAACUUUCUGGUCUUACUGUAAGAGCUUGACCCUGAGGCACUUAUAAACACAUGGUUCUUACCGUUCCUAUUAUCGCAUUUAUUUCACCUUGAUGAGGUAUACUUUUUAAGGAACAAGCAUAUAUCAACUUAGUAGUUCUAGUAUCUACUGAAGAGUACCAUCAAGAUUGAUUGUGAUGGUCAUUUGGCAUGACUGCAUGAAUUCUUUAUUCUUUUAUGUGCAGUUUUUCUAUAGAAAAACACUGAAAGUUAAAAGUUGAAAAAAAUAAAACCAUGUAGCAUUUGCACAUAACAUAUUUACAUCUUCCCAUAUACUUUAAGUCAUCUCUAGGUUUCGUAUAAUACCUAAUACAAUGUAAAUGCUAUGUAAAUAGUUGUUAUACUACAUGAAUAAAUAAUGACAAGAAACAGAUGUCCAUACAUGUUCAGACACAACAUUCUUCCACAUAUUUUGAUCUGAGGUUGAUUGAAUGCAUGAUGCAGAACCCAUAGAAACAGAGAGCUAAGUGUAUUAGAAUUUUUCUCCUGGCUUCCAUAAAGCACACCUGUAGGCAAUCACAGUCUAGGGUACAAGAAAGUCCAGUUUUGCCGUUUAAUAGGUGUGUGACUUUAAGAAGGGCAAUAAUAAUUCCAGUUCCCACUCAGCUAAGUAUAACCUACCAUCCAGGUCACAUUUACUGCCUACUUACUGUCUUUCCAAAACUGUCUAAGCCCCUUCUAACCACUAAAUGUUGGUGAGGUAUUCCAUGAGGUAAUGAUGCAGUGAGGCACAGAGAUGUUAAAAUAACUUGCCCAAGGUGACACAGAUAGAAGCAAAUCAGACUAUCCAAUUCAAGGGCACACUCCAACCACUAUGCUGCACUGCCUCUGGUAACACAGAAUAUCCUUUAAGAGAAGAACAGGGCCAAGUACAAUGGCACCCCUGUAGUUCCAGCUAUUUGGGAGGCUGAGGGAGGAGGAUUGUUUGAGGCCAGGAGUUGAAGGCUGCAGUGAGCUAUGAUGGCGCCUGGGAGUAGUCACUACACUCCAGCCUGGGCAACUGAGCAAGACCCCGUCUUUAAAAAACAAAAAUAAAGAGGUCAGGUAAGUGAGUCUCCCCCUCCCAACUUCACACUUCUCACUCUCCUGAAAUUCUUCAGGAGAUCCUAAUCAACCACAUAAAACAAGCAAAGUGUAGAGAUUAUGUAAAAUGUUUAUUUUUCUUUCCAUGCCCUUUUCUCCCCAUUGAGUUUCAUGGAGAUCUGUGUGACUAUGGGAGGCCUCCAGAGAUUCAGCAAUGGUAAGAAAAUAUGAGCACAUUUUAAAAGAGGAGGGAAGAAGGAGGGAGGAUUCCUCCCAAGAGAGUGGUGGCAACUUUACAACUUGAAAAUGUCUGUGAGCCUGGCUUAAAUUUUUAUGACACAUCUCUACCACACUGGCAGGGGGUGGGGGGUUGGGGACUUGGGUUGUCUUGGAUCAAGACCCAGUGCUGAGGUAAGCAAUGUAGCCAGACUGGCUUGAUCAGCUCCUUGUAAUCUCCCUGGCGAGGGAUGUUUGUCAACUGGAGACCACACCCACUAAAGAGAACUAAUUAGGUUCUAGGGGCAACCACUAAGGUCAUCAUUAUUACCAGGUGAGAUCAGUUUCCCAAACAUUCCGAUCUUAAGACUUGCAUGGGGUGAUUAGGAAGACUGCUCCUUCAGAACCACUGUACCAGAAUCUUCAGGCAGCCCUAGAAAUCUGAAACCAGGUAAUUCUUGACAGACAAGUUUGGGAAACACUAUUUAGAUCAUGACAUUACAGUAUCUAAAAAGAUCAAGAAGGGUCUUCUAGGUAGGGUGUCCUCCUUUCAAGCAAUUCUCUGUCUAAUCCAGGAGGAGAAGACUAUUUUCUAUACAUAAAAGUCUCCAGAGAACUGGCUUCCAAAAUUUCCUUUCAGUAUACAUAAGAGUCUCAAGUCUGCAGAGCUUUGUGGUCCCUCUCAAAUAGCUCAGGCAAAGGUUAAAUCUCCAUCCUUCUUCCAACCAGAUAUUUAAAAAACAAUAUUUGUUACACAAGUCAUCAUACUGAAAGUUUUGUUAACUCACUUUGGAAAAUACGUGAGGGCCUAGAACUGUGCUAAGCCCUCUGGUGCUCUGUUUAAGAUAAAGAACUUCACUUAUUUCAAAGGUCAGGAAGAAGAAACAGAAAAGACAACCCACAGAAUGAGAGAAGCUAUUUGCAAAGCAUAUAUCUGAUAGGAGACUUCAACCCAGAAUAUAAAAACAAUGCUUAAAAUGUAAGAGUAAAUAGACAAAUAAUAUAAUUUAAAAACGGUCAAAGGAUCUGAAUAGACACUUCUCCAAAGAAAAUAUACAGAUGGCCAAUGAUAUGGUUUGGCUUUGUCCCCACCCAAAACUCAUCUUGAAUCGGAACUCCCACAAUUCCCAUGUGUCGUGUGAGGAAGCCGGUGGAAGGUAAUUGAAUUACCGGGGUGAGUCUUUCCAAUGCUGUUCUCUUGAUUGUAAUAAGUCUCAAGAGAUCUGAUGGCUUUAAAAAUGGGAGUUUGCCCACACAAGCUGUCUCUUUGCCUGCUGCCAUACAUGUAAGACAUGACUUGAUCCUUCUUGCCUUCCACCAUGAUUGUGAGGCCUCCCCAGCCAUGUGGAACUGUAAUUCCAUUAAACCUCUUUCUUUUGCAAAUUGCCCAGUCUCAGGAACGUCUUUAUCAGCAGUGUGAAAAUGGACGAAUACGAGCCAAUAAGCACGUGAAAAUAUAUUCAUCAUCAUUAGUCAUUAGAGAAACGAAAAGCAAAACCACAAUGAGAUACCACCUCACACCCACUAGAAUGGCUACAAAACUUGUAUGCUUGUGUUCAGAAUGGCAUUAUUCCUAACUGUCAAAAGUGGAAACAACCCAUCAACUGAUGAACGGAUAAAUAAAAUGUGACCCAUCUAGUCAAUGGCAUACUAUUCAGCAAUAACAAGGAAUGAAGUACUAACACAUGCUACUUCAUGGAUGAGCACUGAAAACAUGAGGAAAAAGCCAGCUACAAAAGGCCACAUUUUGUAUUGUUUCAUUUACAUGAUAUGUGCAGAACAGCAAAAUCCAGACUCAGAAAAUAGAUUAGUGGUUGCCUGUGAUGAGGGAUAGGAGCAAUGGGGAGAGGUGGCAACUCAUGGGUCUGGAAUUUUUGGGGUUUUUUUGUUUUCUUUUGAGACAGGGUCUCAUUCUGUCACUCAGACUAGAGCACAGCGAUGCAAUCACGACACACUGCAUGCAGCCUCAACCUCCUGGGCUCAAGCAAUCCUCCUGCCUCAGCCUCCUGAGUGGCUGCGAUUACAGGCACACAUCACCAUGCUCAGCUAAUUUUUAAAUUUUUUUGCUAUUAAAGGGGUCUCACUCUAUGUUGCCCAGACUGGUCUCAAACUCCUGAGCUCAAGAGAUCCUCCUACCUUGGCUUCCCAAAGUGCUGAGAUUACAGGUGUGAGCCACUGUGCCUGGCCUGGGCUGUUUUUGAAGUGAUGAAUAUGCUCUAAAAUUGACUAUGGUGAUGGGUGCACAACUCCAUGAACAUACUAAAAAUCAAUGAGUGUACACUUUAAAUGGGUGAAUCGUAUAGUAUGUGAAUAUCUCAAUAAAGUUGUUUAAAAAAAGGAUCCCAUUUAAUCUCCAUGAGCCUCAAUUUCACCCUCUGAAAAUGGAGACACCACCUACCUUUCAAUACUAUAAAGGAUAUAUAGGCCAGGUGCGGUGGCUCCCAGCACUCUGGGAGGCCGAGGCAGGCGAAUCAUGACGUCAAGAGAUUCAGAUCAUCCUGGGCCAAAAUGGUGAAACCCGUCUCUAUUAAAAAUACAAAAAUUAGCUGGGUGUGGUGGCACGUGCCUGUAAUCUCAGCUACUCGGGAGGUGGAGGGAGGAGAAUCACUUGAACCCGGGAGGCGGGGGUUGCAGUGAGCCGAGAUCACGCCAUUGCACCCCCGGCCUGGGUGACAAGAGCGAAACUCCAUCUCAAAAAAAAAAAAAAAAAAAGAAUAUAUAAAUACAUACAGAUGCAUGCAUGUACACACUCACACAUACUAUGUUUCACAUAGUACCUAGCCCAUAAUAAAUACUAAAUAGAUGUCAUUCUUUCUCCUCUUCCUAUCCCCACGCUUUUGUAUUGUUAUGCCUUGAUACUGUGGUUCCACCACAAAUUACAAAACUCAAAAUUAAAAUGUAUUUCAACAGAGGUCUAACCAUGAGAAUUUCACACUGCUAUCCUCAAGACUACUCCUACAUGGCUAACUCUGAAGAAAUCCUGGAGCCUGCGAAUGUGACUGUCUACCUUCCAGACUUGUCACUACAGAGUAUUUGGGGAUAAAGAGUAAGACCUUUUUCCUCUGUUCCACUGCCUUAUUAGAAUGUUCCUUAUUUCUAACCACUGGACACGGGCACCUUCACUUACCUAUCUUUAAAACUCAGCACAAUCCUUGCCAAUACAGAUGCUAUUCAGACAUUUUUCCUGUCAAUUUCAUCUACAAUGAAAAUCAACUGGGCCUCCAAGACAGCUCUGCAGGUGUCCCCAAAACACCUUAGCUUUGAUAUAUAGC